Molecule: ribosomal RNA, 240 nt
Filed under: uncultured bacterium
Lineage: Bacteria
Description: partial 16S ribosomal RNA
Rfam family: Bacterial small subunit ribosomal RNA
Source: RNAcentral
CGGCGGACGGGGAGGUAACGCGUGGGUAACCUGCCUCAUACAGGGGGAUAACAGUUAGAAAUGACUGCUAAUACCGCAUAAGACCACAGCACCGCAUGGUGCAGGGGUAAAAACGUACCGGUGGUAUGAGAUGGACCCGCGUCUGAUUAGCUAGUUGGUAAGGUAACGGCUUACCAAGGCGACGAUCAGUAGCCGACCUGAGAGGGUGACCGGCCACAUUGGGACUGAGACACGGCCCAA